This 2437-nucleotide ribosomal RNA is filed under the name Hyperia galba. RNAcentral's name for it is "18S ribosomal RNA". It matches the Rfam family "Eukaryotic small subunit ribosomal RNA". The record is from RNAcentral. Lineage: Eukaryota; Metazoa; Arthropoda; Malacostraca; Amphipoda; Hyperiidae.
CCUAUCUGGUUGAUCCUGCCAGUGUCUAUAUGCUUGUUUCAAAGACUAAAGCCAUGCAUGCCUAAGUACAGCUCGGUGGGGCAACCUACCGGGCGAAACCGCAGACGGCUCAUUAAAUCAGUUGUGGUCUAAGGGGGCAACAGAUUUCCUUACUUGGAUAACUGUGGAAAAUCCAGAGCUAAUACAUGCGAUUCGAAGUCCUCAGCCAAAGCCUCGCGUCGCUCGCGGCGUACGGUGACUAACUGGGGGUGCUUUUAUUAGACCGAGGCGCGCGCACACGUAGCUUAGCGCCUGUCUUCACGGGCGGGAAUGCGGCUGCUUGUGUGUCGCACGUAAGCGCUUUAUGGUGACUCUGAAUAACACUGAUAAGCGUGCUUUAAGUAGCACGCUGCCUUCCUUACGAGUGACUGCCCUAUCAGCUACUAACGUAUGUUAUACGCGAACGGUUGGCUAUAACGGGGUAACGGGGAAUCAGAGUUCGAUUCCGGAGAGGCAGCCUGAGAAACGGCUACCACGUCUAAGGACGGCAGCAGGCACGCAAAUUACCCAAUCCCAGCACACGGGGGAGGUAGUGACGAUAGAUACUGAUGCGGGUCGUUCUUCGGAACACUCGCAAUUGGCAAUGGCUAUUUUCUAAAAACCCUAUCGAGAACCUACUGGAGGGCAAGCCUGGUGCCAGCAGCCGCGGUAAUUCCAGCUCCAGUGGCGUAUGCAAUGUUGCUGCGGUUAAAAGGCUCNCAGUUGAAAUGUCGGUUAAUAUACGCGAAGUGAUGCCGGGACGCUGCGAGCUUUGCGGCCUCUGUGCAGCAUUGUGAGCCGUCUCUCCAAGUGCAUCUCUGGCGGGCUAACGAUUAGAUUGGCGACGCAGAGUGGGUCUUCUCGCGGCACGUUCGUUCUCGGACGUGUGUGCUCGGCUCACUCGCACGUGUCGCCGGUUGACACCUUGAGUAAAUCAGAGUGCUUAAAGCAGUCGUUGAAACACUACGGCUGCGAUCUCCACCUCUCGCGAGGCAUAGGGUCGUAUGUCUAUGGUGACGUCGCAAGACGUUUGGACAUUGUCUUUGCUUUGCAUGGUACGUCGGAAGACGCCGUGUGAGUUGGUUGCGCUUACGGUCAGACACACCAGCAGUGUGUGCGCGUGCACCAACGAGCUCGGAAUGAACUGAAAGGGAUGGCUCGAAGGCAUUGGUAUUGCGGGGCGAGAGGUGAAAUUCUAUGACCCCCGCAAGACUUCCCGAAGCGAAAGCGUUUGCCUAGGACGUCUUCAUUAAUCAUGAACGAAAGUUGAAGGAUCGAAGGCGAUCAGAUACCGCCCUAGUUGCAACCGUAAACGAUAUCAACCAUCAAUCCGUCAAAGCGUUCCCUUGCGUUCGCGCGGUCUGGCUUCACGGUCGGCCUCGUGGGCAAAGUGUAAGCGCUUGAUGGGCAGCUCUUCUAUCACGGGAAACCAGAGUGUUUCGGUUCCGGGGGGAGUCUGGUUGCAAAGCUGAAACUUAAAGGAAUUGACGGAAAGGCACCACCAGGCGUGGGGCUUGCGGCUCAAUUUGACUCAACACGGGAAAUCUCACCAGACCCGAACAUCUCUAACGAUUGACAGAUUGAAAGCUCUUUCUUGAUGAAGUGGAUGGUGGUGCAUGGCCGUUCUUAGUUGGUGGAGUGAUCUGUCUGGUUAAUUCCGAUAACGAACGAGACUCUCCCCUGCUAACGGACCUUAGUGUUUUUUUAGACGGUGCGAUUCGGAUAAAGGGACCACGGGCGUAAGCCGGUCUCAGACGACGUCCACUGAUCCUUGGUACGUCGGUGUUCUCUCUGGAGUCUGGGCGCUCGUGUGUGUGCGCGAUGUCUCUCUCUUGUCAAGGCCCGUGUCAAAGCGGCGUUGCGGCGAGGGUGUGGGCUCGUCUCAUGCGCGGCGUCUGUCUCUCUCGGGGGGCUCAUUGACAAAGUGCCUCGGAGUACGUUUCUUCUUAGAGGGAUUGACGACUCAUAAGUCGUAAGAAACAGGGAGCAAUAACAGGUCUGUGAUGCCCUUAGAUGUUCUGGGCUGCACGCGUGUUACGAUGCCGGUAUCAACGGGUUCUUACACUCUUAGUGGCCUACUCCGAAAGGAGCGGGUAAACCUUUGAAAUACCAACUGCUGCCAUACUUCUCGUACGGCGCAUUUACGGCAUGCUUGGGACUGGGGAUUGCAAUUAUUCCCCACGAACUAGGAAUGCCUUGUAGUGGCGGGUCACAGAACCCGCUGCGAAUCUGUCCCUGCCCUUUGUACACACCGCCCGUCGCUACUACCGAUUGAGUGUACCAGUGAGAUUUUUGGACUGGCGAACCGCGUGCCUUCACGGGCUCGCGGCGUACGACAACAAGAGACUCGAACUGGUGCACUUAGAGGAAGUAAAAGUCGUAACAAGGUUUCCGUAGUGAACCUGCGGAAGGAUCAUUA